Molecule: ribosomal RNA, 487 nt
Filed under: uncultured bacterium
Lineage: Bacteria
Description: bacterial SSU rRNA
Rfam family: Bacterial small subunit ribosomal RNA
Source: RNAcentral
GAUGAACGCUGGCGGCGUGCCUAACACAUGCAAGUCGAACGAAGCACUGAGAAACUGAGAUUCGUCAAGGUUUUUCUUUGACUUAGUGGCGGACGGGUGAGUAAUGCGUGAGCAACCUGCCUUUCAGAGGGGGACAACAGUUGGAAACGACUGCUAAUACCGCAUGACAUAUUUAAGCGGCAUCGCUUGAAUAUCAAAGAUUUAUCGCUGAAAGAUGGGCUCACGUCUGAUUAGUUAGUUGGUGAGGUAACGGCUCACCAAGACUGCGAUCAGUAGCCGGACUGAGAGGUUGAACGGCCACAUUGGGACUGAGAUACGGCCCAGACUCCUACGGGAGGCAGCAGUGGGGAAUAUUGGGCAAUGGGCGAAAGCCUGACCCAGCAACGCCGCGUGAAGGAAGAAGGUCUUCGGAUUGUAAACUUCUUUUAUCAGGGACGAAGGAAGUGACGGUACCUGAUGAAUAGCACGGCUAACUACGUGCCAGCAG